Molecule: ribosomal RNA, 253 nt
Filed under: uncultured bacterium
Lineage: Bacteria
Description: partial 16S ribosomal RNA
Rfam family: Bacterial small subunit ribosomal RNA
Source: RNAcentral
UACGUAGGGUGCGAGCGUUAAUCGGAAUUACUGGGCGUAAAGCGUGCGCAGGCGGUUCGCUGUGUCCGAUGUGAAAGCCCCGGGCUCAACCUGGGAAUGGCAUGGGAAACUGGCGGGCUGGAGUGUGGCAGAGGGGGGUGGAAUUCCGCGUGUAGCAGUGAAAUGCGUAGAUAUCGUAAGGAAGACCAGUGGCGAAGGCGAGUCUCUGGACAGCAACUGACGCUGAGGCACGAAGGCCAGGGGAGCAAACGGG